This 1285-nucleotide long non-coding RNA is filed under the name Piliocolobus tephrosceles (Ugandan red Colobus). Its description in RNAcentral is "lncRNA (ENSPTEG00000022056.1)". Lineage: Eukaryota; Metazoa; Chordata; Mammalia; Primates; Cercopithecidae. The record is from RNAcentral.
AUGUUUUUCCCUAUACAUACAUAUCUAUGAUAAAGUUUAAUUUAUAAACUAGGCACAGUAAUAGAGUAACACAAAAUAAAAUAGAACAAUUAUAACAAUACGCCAGCGUUGCUUCUCUUCUGCUUUGGGGCCAUUAUUCGUUAAAGUAAGGGUGACUUAAACCCAAGCACCAUAAUAUCACUGCAGUCGAGCUGGUAACCAAGACGAAGUGACUAAUAGGCAGGCAGCGUGGAUGAUUCACAUCCCAGGUGGGACAGAGCAGGACAUGUAAGAUUUCAUCACGCUACUCACAACGGCAUGCAACUUAACACUUAUAAAAUAUUUAUUUCUGGAAUUUUACAUUUAACAUUUUCAGACUGCAGUUGACAGCAGAUAACUGAAAGCUCAGAAAGCGAAACUGUGGAUGUUGGGGGGGGGGAACUAUGGCAUCACAUUUAAAAUUGCUUCUGUAAGUUUAUGUUUGAAGUAUUUUGUUCCUUGAAAAUAUGCUUGCCUUUUUUCUUUUCUCAUUGUUCUUACUAAUUGCAUGACUUAAUUUCUCAUACAUUGUUGCCCCUCAGCGCUACGUCACUGAAGUUUUAGGAAGUUAAAUGUUAUGUUCCUGUAAAGAUAAAAAGUGUCGCCGGGCGCGGUGGUUCACGCCUGUAAUCCCAGAACUUUCGGAGGCUGAGGCGGGCAGAUCACAAGGAUAUGGAAACUGUCAUGAAGAAUAAUUUCAGGAACUGGAGAUUCCUUUAUCCAGAGAUUUAAAAAAAGACAUACAUACAUACAUAUAUAUAUGUAUAUAUACACACACACACAUAUAUAUACAUAUUAAAAAAGACAUACAUAUAUACAUAUAUAUAUAUUUUUAAAUCUUGGAGUCUUGCUCUGUCACCCAGGCUGGAAUGCAAUGACAUGAUCUCAGCUCACUGCAGCCUCCACCUCCCGGUUCAAGCAAUUCUCCUGCCUCAGCCUCCCAAGUAGCUGGGAUUACAGGCGCCCGCCACCACACCUGGCUAAUUUUUGUAUUUUUAGUAGAGGUGGGGUUUCUCCAUGUUGGCCAGGCUAGUCUCAAACUCCGGGCCUCAGGUGAUCUGCCUCCCAAAGUGCUGGGAUUACAGGUGUGAGUCACGGCACCUGGCCUGAAUAGGUAGAUAUGUGAUAAACCCAAUAUAGAAAAAAUUUAAUGGUAGAAUCUAGAUGGUGAAUAUAUAGGUGGUUCAUUGUAGAAUUCUUUCAACUUUUCUGUACACUUGAAAAGUUUUAUAAUAAAAAUGUUAUACACAGAGAGAGAGAGAGAGAC